RNAcentral lists this ribosomal RNA (320 nucleotides) under uncultured Pseudomonadota bacterium. Its description in RNAcentral is "bacterial SSU rRNA". It matches the Rfam family "Bacterial small subunit ribosomal RNA", at positions 30 to 351 of the family's 1533-position model. The record is from RNAcentral. Lineage: Bacteria; Pseudomonadati; Pseudomonadota.
AUUGAACGCUGGCGGCAUGCCUUACACAUGCAAGUCGAACGGCAGCACGGGGGCAACCCUGGUGGCGAGUGGCGAACGGGUGAGUAAUAUAUCGGAACAUGCCCUGAAGUGGGGGAUAACGUAGCGAAAGUUACGCUAAUACCGCAUAUUCUGUGAGCAGGAAAGCAGGGGAUCGCAAGACCUUGCGCUUUAGGAGUGGCCGAUAUCGGAUUAGCUAGUUGGUGAGGUAAAGGCUCACCAAGGCAACGAUCCGUAGCUGGUUGAGAGAACGACCAGCCACACUGGGACUGAGACACGGCCCAGACUCCUACGGGUGGCUG